AAGUCGUAACAAGGUUUCCGUAGGUGAACCUGCGGAAGGAUCAUUAACACGUAUCCAACGUUAAACCCCCCGUGAACCUUCAGAGCGUUCUUGCCGCCCGUGACAAUCAGCAAUCCUGGUAAAUCAAGUGGGAAUAUCCGUUAUUGAUUCAGGACCAUAGCGGCAAUUGAGAGCUUUUAUCGUUAGUUUGGCUAGCGACACUUUCUAGGGUAAGGCUUCGCCAUCGCUGGAGGCUCACCACGUAGGCGGCGGACAAACUACAGGGCUAUAUGCCCCCUAAUGACGACCAAGUUAAAUAGGGCCUCUGUCACAUAGCAAGUGCGCCGUGCCAGAGGAAAGUACAACUGUUAACAAUGGAUAUCUUGGUUCUC
RNAcentral lists this unclassified non-coding RNA (371 nucleotides) under fungal sp. Its description in RNAcentral is "partial internal transcribed spacer region". The stretch from base 1 to 46 matches the Rfam family "Eukaryotic small subunit ribosomal RNA", at positions 1786 to 1831 of the family's 1831-position model. The record is from RNAcentral. Lineage: Eukaryota; Fungi.